RNAcentral lists this ribosomal RNA (409 nucleotides) under Bacillus thuringiensis serovar darmstadiensis. Its description in RNAcentral is "bacterial SSU rRNA". It matches the Rfam family "Bacterial small subunit ribosomal RNA", at positions 1 to 397 of the family's 1533-position model. The record is from RNAcentral. Lineage: Bacteria; Bacillati; Bacillota; Bacilli; Caryophanales; Bacillaceae.
UUUAUUGGAGAGUUUGAUCCUGGCUCAGGAUGAACGCUGGCGGCGUGCCUAAUACAUGCAAGUCGAGCGAAUGGAUUGAGAGCUUGCUCUCAAGAAGUUAGCGGCGGACGGGUGAGUAACACGUGGGUAACCUGCCCAUAAGACUGGGAUAACUCCGGGAAACCGGGGCUAAUACCGGAUAACAUUUUGAACUGCAUGGUUCGAAAUUGAAAGGCGGCUUCGGCUGUCACUUAUGGAUGGACCCGCGUCGCAUUAGCUAGUUGGUGAGGUAAUGGCUCACCAAGGCAACGAUGCGUAGCCGACCUGAGAGGGUGAUCGGCCACACUGGGACUGAGACACGGCCCAGACUCCUACGGGAGGCAGCAGUAGGGAAUCUUCCGCAAUGGACGAAAGUCUGACGGAGCAACGC